This is a long non-coding RNA of Rhincodon typus (whale shark), 1062 nucleotides long. RefSeq lists it as uncharacterized. The record is from RefSeq and is a predicted model, not a curated record. The transcript is spliced from 3 exons. Lineage: Eukaryota; Metazoa; Chordata; Chondrichthyes; Orectolobiformes; Rhincodontidae.
AUAGAACUGUUGUGGAAGAUAUCAGCUUGUCAGCAAAGCCGAAACCCAAAGCAUAAAUGCAAUAGUGGCAGAAUGCAAGCUGAGUGACAGAAAAAGAGUGGUGGUGAACUGUUGAUUCUUGGUGGACAUAAGUAGACAAUGAGCUUAAUAAAAACCGAAAGAACUGCAGAUGCUGUAAAUCAAGAACAAGAACAGAAGUUGCUGAAAAUCUCAGCAGACGUGGCAACAUCUGUGAAGAAAAAAUCAGAGUUAACGUUUUGGGUGACUGUCUAAGAUCAAGGAAGUUCACUGGUAUUUAAUAUCCAUCGCUGUUUACCUCAGAAAGCGCGUCUGGAGAAAUAUUCUAAUACAUGAACAGAUUCUACCAAACAAUCAUUCUACAUAUAAAGGUAAAUGUACUCCACAAAUUAAACUCAAAAUGAGGUCUGAAGAUGUUUUGCUUAUGAACCACAAAAAACCUCAACAGAUGUACAAGAUAAUACAAGUAAAAUAAAACAAAAAUAAUGAUCCAAUCGCUGUCUUGGAAUAGUUACCAAAACAUUAGCUGGCUUCCAAAGGCUUGUGUAGGUGUUAAUAAAAGUAUACCCAGUAUGAAUGAAACUACAAAAUUAACAUUAGCAGUGAUGGAGGAAAUGUACCAAUCUUGUAGACCUUUGCAGGUCAGUGUUUGGAUUUACUUUUUUUUGUAAGGAAGGAUUAUCCACAUCAUUAACAAACUCAAAUUCAAAAAGGACCAUUGACCUCAUGCACAGUUGUACUUUGUAUCAAGAUCACAAUGAUAUGGGAGAUAUCCAAUGGCAUACAAUAAAUACAAAGGUCACGUACAGUAAGAUGGAUUCUCAAGUCAAUCCAGUGGAUUACUAUUGAGCGAGAAGAAGAGUUGCUCAUCAUAUUAGUGUUCCCCUUUAUGCCAUGUUAAACUUUGAGAUCUCAGACAAGCGGUACGUAUGAAGCAAUUGAUGGAGGCGUGGAUCAAGACAUGGACUUUGUCAUGUGCUCACGUGUCCUGUACAGACCUGACACUAUUCUUCUCAAAUGUUGGGAUGUCUUGAUAGCACAUGU